This 468-nucleotide ribosomal RNA is filed under the name uncultured bacterium. RNAcentral's name for it is "partial 16S ribosomal RNA". It matches the Rfam family "Bacterial small subunit ribosomal RNA", at positions 28 to 507 of the family's 1533-position model. The record is from RNAcentral.
GACGAACGCUGGCGGCGUGCUUAACACAUGCAAGUCGAACGGAAAGGCCCUGCUUUUGUGGGGUGCUCGAGUGGCGAACGGGUGAGUAACACGUGAGUAACCUGCCCUUGACUUUGGGAUAACUUCAGGAAACUGGGGCUAAUACCGGAUAGGAGCUCCUGCUGCAUGGUGGGGGUUGGAAAGUUUCGGCGGUUGGGGAUGGACUCGCGGCCUAUCAGCUUGUUGGUGGGGUAGUGGCUUACCAAGGCUUUGACGGGUAGCCGGCCUGAGAGGGUGACCGGCCACAUUGGGACUGAGAUACGGCCCAGACUCCUACGGGAGGCAGCAGUGGGGAAUAUUGCACAAUGGGCGGAAGCCUGAUGCAGCAACGCCGCGUGCGGGAUGACGGCCUUCGGGUUGUAAACCGCUUUCGCCUGUGACGAAGCGUGAGUGACGGUAAUGGGUAAAGAAGCUCCGGCUAACUACGUG